Molecule: non-coding RNA, 4683 nt
Organism: Pelobates cultripes (western spadefoot toad)
Lineage: Eukaryota; Metazoa; Chordata; Amphibia; Anura; Pelobatidae
Source: the annotation of a GenBank genome assembly
GCACGCUCCUAAAGUAAUUCACACCAGACACAGGUUUCGGGUUAAUGAAAAACUUGAGGAAUGUUUAUUCUGAGGGGACGGCAUGUCCCUUAUAAAGCAAAAUUACAUCAUAUGCAUUGUCAGACAUAACAUGGAAUAAUACAUCAAUAAUUGGUUAGGUGUUAAGUGGUUCAUGUAUUGCUCUUCCUACCGGGUGUGAUGUCACUGGUAUCUUGGAGGUCUCCCCCAGAUUCCAGAACCAUCUUGUUAAUGAGGGUGUUAGUCGAUGUCAAGGGGAAACUCCCUAGCGGCCAUUUUAGGUAAAUCACAUGUAAGGUUGAAUAAUGCUGAUUGUAGUUAUACUGAGUAAAUAGGCAUUUUACUAACAUGGAUUGGGUUAAUAUUUUUGUCCAUAACAAUAACUAUGGUGUGUUAUGGUGCUUGGAGUGUUCCUUUCAAAUUAUCAGUUGAAUAUGUUAGAAAUGUGAAAGUUUGCAUUUCUUGAAAAGAAUACUUUAAUGCUAGGUAGUUUUCUAACUGCAUUUUGAAUAUAGAUGAUGACAGCUUGAAUGAUGUACCAUAGAUAAUCUCCUUACUGGAAUAUCCAGAGAGUAUCUUGUUUUCAAGCUGUGAAACCAGGGACAAUAGCAUGGCAUGAGUUCUCACUCAGGGAUUGAAUGGGCAAUUCCCUUUACUGGUCUCUUUUAUCUAACAUGCAAAUUAAAAGUCAUAUGGAGCCACACCCUGCACGAACACAUUCUGGAAUGCAGUGAGACCAGACCUAAAGCCUGCCAAGUUCAACGCCUCCUAGUAUCGACUGCUGGUUUGUUAGAUCCAGUCCUCACUCAUAAACCUUUAUUGUUUAAUCAACAGUUAAAGUCACAUGUCAUAUGUUUAUACAUUUAAGUACUACAUUUUCUCUGUAUGUUUUAUUAAAAAGCACCUAGAAAAUGAUGUACAUUAUUAAACUUAAUGAGUAUCUAGUACUUUAAUCAUAUAUUUAAUAAUUUAUGUAUAAAUCACAAAAUGUGAAAAUCAAAGAUAUUUUCUGUUUCAACUUUGUAGUAGGAGGUGUAUUUUUGAAUAAACUCCACAAUUACUGUAGUGGUUGAAAAGAACUGGCCAGCCACCACAGGCUUAAAACUCACAGCUCUGAAAGUUUUCAACUAUUUGCCCGCUGGCUGCUAGUGCUGCAAGCAAACAAAUAGUUCAGAUUUUUUUCAAAUCCUGGCCUGGAUUUAAAGAAUCUGGGUACUGAUUUAGGCCGUCCAGGGGCAACUAGUCCUUAUGAAAUCCGGAUCUAAUUGAGGCCCAUUUGUAAAGUAGUCUGAACAAUGUCCUGAUUUUGCAGUAUGACUUCAGACUUGAGUGAAUAACCCAGAUGUGGUCAAAUUACAUUUCAAUUUCAUAUUUUCAGAUUUGCUGGAUCCAUGUUAAGUUUGGUCAUGCCAUAGUACUUCAUCAUGGUAUAGCAUUUGUUAAAGAAGACAACUUGGGCUAUUUCAUAUGGGGAAUCCAGAGUCUUUUACAUUGACAUUUUUUAUUUUAUCACUUACUGGGAUGCUCUCUCACCAACUACCUGCAUUCAGGUUCAAAUAAUGCAUUUCCUGGACUAAAUUCGCUGCCAUCCAGUGACGUCCUGAAUUAGCCUCAUAAGGUUAUGUACUACCCACGAAUCAUCUGGAACUCUAAGAUAACGUUGGUCAAUAUGAAACAAGCCCUGUCUAUUUUUACUCACCUGUACCACUCAUUGUUGCCCUGUUGUGGUUCAAGUUAGCUCAACAGUGCGUUCUUGUGUAUUCUGAUUAUGGUUUCCGACUCUUGGCUUGUUUAACAUUUCUCCUGACCUCUGUGCUCCUUUCAUCUGACUAGAAUACCAUUUCUCCAGUUUUCUCAUGUCCUUGACCUCGGCUUUUACUCUGACACAGUCCACUGUUAGUCUGGCCACUCUGGAUCGGUACACAGCUAGUCUCUCUUUUACUGUGAUCUGUGUCUCUGUGUUUUGGUUCCUACUCCAUCCUGACACAUAGUGAACUUUAAUGAUGAAUUUCAUGAGUCUUGUGUGUCCUACUACUUCAAAUACCUUAUAUUUCUAUUCAGCUGCAUCUGCAGACUACAGCAAUAAUCCGUUGCCAGGUGUUUGGCAACUUAUAGAAUUAAAUAAUAAACAUGCCUUUAUUUAGAUAUGCAUCUUUGUCUGAUUCACAUAGACACUAUUUGGCAAAGUAACACUAUGUUAAAACACUGACCAGUGUCACACUUUGAUGUUGUCUGACAUAUAAAGGUUAAUUUUCAUAGAAAGAACCUGACAAAAAAAGUAAAUUUACUGGAAUGAAAGUAAAUUCUCAAAUAAAAGGACACCCAGACAGAGGAAACUAUCAACAUGUGUACCUAUAUUACAAAAUGAUUGUCCCCGGAUGAGGCCCGUAGCUUAGAAGACCUUCCAACAGAAACUGAACUAGCAGUGGCAGUUAAGGCAACCAACCUGGGAAAAAGCCCAGGUCCAGAUGGUCUCCCCAACCUUUAUUAUAAACAAGUUGCAUCCAUCCCUUACCUAUGCCUGCUAUCGCCCAAUCUCACUCUUAUAUUGCGAUCUGAAGAUAUUUGCAAACAUUUUGUAUAAGAGAUUGAUAGAUAAUGGUUUUGGGUGGGUUUUGUUCUUCACUCUGGUCUAUUUGUCUCGAAGCAGGUAGAAGGACAUCCUCUUACUAGCUACAAAUGCAGGCUUCUGGUUAAUUAGAAAUUCCUUUUUGCUACCUUACAACAUGUCGGGGUUGGCCCCCCCUGCUUUAAUAAAUACGAACACUGUACUUAUCUACCUCAGUGAGGGUCUGUGUGAAUGGAAUGCUCAUGGAGCCCUUUCAUAUUUAUAAUGGAACAUGGAUGCCCACUAUCUCUAUUGCGCUUUUUCCUUGCCUUUGAACCCUCCUUUUAGGGAAGGUGUAAACAGGGUUAUAUCUCAACUUACAGGAAGUGGUGAAUCCCACAAACAGAGGUACUAAAUAAAUGUAUUACAGGACCUUAGAGUGGCUGGACUUAAUGUAAGAAAGGCAAAGAUAAAGUCAAUAAUAACCAAGGUCAAGAUUCCAGAAAUACUCAUUCAGAAACAAGCUAGGUCAGGGUACCAGAAAUACACAAACUCAAAUACAAGUCAAGGUCAAUAUCAAAAUAUCAAGAGAGACUUUUGAUAAGCACUAAACAUAGAUUAAGACAGAAACCAUGAUAGGACACUGAAUAAGUGUUCGUAAUCCCACCUCUGAUGCUCGUCUUCAAGACUUGUCUAGGGCUGCACCAUUCCUGUCAAACUCCCUUACCUUUUCUGUUAGUUGCUCAACCAGUAUCUACUCCUGUAAAAAAAAAAAAAUCAUUACAAACUCACUUUUUCACAAAAGUGUAUCAAACUGUUAAUGGCUCCCAACUGAUUCCUCUCUGCAACUGUCAUUUAAAAAAAACCACACUAAGUCUUCAGUGAAUACUAUUCUACCAAUCUACUUCCCUAAUACUUCCCUUACCUUUUGUGCCACUUUACCCCACUUCCUCUAGCAUGUAAGCUCAUUCACUCUGUUCCUGUGCGUGAAACUUGUCUGGUUACAAUUACAUGUUUGCUAGUCCACCCAUUGUAAAGCGUUACAGAAUUUGUUGGCGCUAUAUAAAUAUAAUAGUAAGAAUAUAUAAGGGCCCAGAUAAGCAUUAUAUAGGCUUUGAUUUGUUCUGAUUGCUCCACGUCAUUUCUGUGACUCCAAAAAGUAUGUUAAAGGUGUUGUCUACAUGACGCAGCAGCACAGCAGAUUAUCACCACCACCUUUUAUUUGAAAAUGGGAGGAAUCCUUAGGUCAGUCCUUUUCUAAACCACAGUGGCUUAAGAUGUAUGACCUCAUUCAUCAUUACUCCCUUUCCACCAAAACUCAGGAAACAUUUUAACAUUCUAAUAAAGGACACUGCAGGUACUUCAUUCCUUUUACCCCUACGCACUCUGGAAAAUCCUGGAGAUGUCUCGAAGUGGAAGGCAGUAUUACUGGUGGGAAUGUCCCCUGAUUCGCCCAUUUGGCAAAACCAGCUGCCUUCCUGCUCCACCCCAUAAGCUAAACUGUGUAGACCAAUAAGAAGUCUAUGAUUAUCAGAAUUUUGAAUAUUGCCCAUGGAGUUGUGGUACAUGCGAAUGGAGAAGUUACACUUUGUGGAAGAGGUGAUCAUCAUUGAUACAUGGAGGGUGCAGAGCUAUUCUGAAGUCUGGACUCAAUGGCUGACCUCAUCAGUGGUGAGCAAUUUGGUUAUUGCUUAAUUAUUGCAUGGGAAAGCAAUGCUCCAUAAUAGGCCCCAGGAUCAGAGAGACCUGAGGGGAGAACAUGUUAAAAUCAAUCACUUGUUAAAAAGACUUGGUACACAUACCCAAUCACCCUGCCUCCCCUCCUACCAGUGGUUGCUGAAGAGUUUUUAAAAGUUUGAUUGCUGGGUACAUUGGCUAUAGUAUUUUGCGACAUUAUGUAUGACUGCAUAUUUUACCAUCGUGUUUUUUAAGUUGUGAGGUUCAUAGUUUGAAUGUGCCUUUACAUGAUGAUGUCCAUCUCCCAUAGGAAAGCAUUGAUUCAUUGCAUUCCUUUGGGGAAGGUCUAAUGAACGCAUGGCACUUCCCUCAUGUGUGCAUUAGGUUCCCUACUGCAUUAAUGUUAGAGGAAGGGGGGACAUAGCAAGCACCAAGGGACC